This 527-nucleotide ribosomal RNA is filed under the name Bacillus sp. UST050418-198. RNAcentral's name for it is "bacterial SSU rRNA". It matches the Rfam family "Bacterial small subunit ribosomal RNA", at positions 387 to 904 of the family's 1533-position model. The record is from RNAcentral. Lineage: Bacteria; Bacillati; Bacillota; Bacilli; Caryophanales; Bacillaceae.
GACGAUUACGCCGCGUGAGCGAUGAAGGCUUCGGGUCGUAAAGCUCUGUUGUCAGAGAAGAACAAGUACCGGGAGUAACUGUCUGUGUACCUUGACGGUACCAGACCAGAAAGCCACGGCUAACUACGUGCCAGCAGCCGUUGGUAAUACGUAGGUGGCAAGCGUUAUCCGGAAUUAUUGGGCGUAAAGCGCGCGCAGGCGGUUCCUUAAGUCUGAUGUGAAAGCCCACGGCUCAACCGUGGAGGGUCGGUGGAAACUGGGGAACUUGAGUGCAGGAGAGAAAAGUGGAAUUCCACGUGUAGCGGUGAAAUGCGUAGAGAUGGGGAGGAACACCAGUGGCGAAGGCGGCUUUUUUGGCCUGUAACUGACGCGGAGGCGCGAAAGCGUGGGGAGCAAACAGGAUUAGAUACCCUGGUAGUCCACGCCGUAAACGAUGAGUGCUAGGUGUUGGGGGUGUUCCACCCUCAGUGCUGACGUUAACACAUUAAGCACUCCGCUGGGGAGUACGGCCGCAAGGUGAAACUCAA